This 318-nucleotide unclassified non-coding RNA is filed under the name uncultured fungus. Its description in RNAcentral is "partial contains small subunit ribosomal RNA, internal transcribed spacer 1, and 5.8S ribosomal RNA". The stretch from base 1 to 73 matches the Rfam family "Eukaryotic small subunit ribosomal RNA", at positions 1759 to 1831 of the family's 1831-position model. Lineage: Eukaryota; Fungi. The record is from RNAcentral.
UCAAACUUGGUCAUUUAGAGGAAGUAAAAGUCGUAACAAGGUUUCCGUAGAUGAAUCUGCGGAAGGAUCAUUACCAAUAGUGGCUGGUCUGCAGCAGCUUUUUGCUGCACGCCGCCACGAAAUCCUCCGUCAACCUGUUGCACUUGUUUGCGAGUCGUGCGCGUUGGGUUCUGUCGCAAGGCAGAGCGCGCGCACGCUUCUCAUUCAAUACGCGCAUCAGCGACACACACACAACAACUCACAGUUGAAUAUACAACACAACAAAACACAACUUUCAACAAUGGAUCUCUUGGCUCUCGCAUCGAUGAAGAACGCAGC